UUCGCAAUGCCCGAAAGGGUGACGAAGCGACGCCGCGUGGGUGAGGAAGGCCCUCGGGUUGUAAAGCCCUGUCAGGAGUUAAGAAAUGUAUGUGUGUUAAUACCACAUUUAUUUGACGAAGGCUCCAAAGGAAGCCACGGCUAACUCUGUGCCAGCAGCCGCGGUAAUACAGAGGUGGCAAGCGUUGUUCGGAAUUAUUGGGCGUAAAGAGCACGUAGGUGGGUUUGUAAGUCAGAUGUGAAAGCCUUCUGUUCAACGGAAGAAUUGCAUCUGAAACUGCGAAUCUUGAGUGUAGGAGGGGAGAAUGGAACUUCUGGUGGAGCGGUGAAAUGCGUAGAUAUCAGAAGGAACGCCGGCGGCGAAAGCGAUUCUCUGGCCUAUUACUGACACUCAGUGUGCGAAAGCUAGGGGAGCAAACGGGAUUAGAUACCCCGGUAGUCCUAGCCGUAAACGAUGGGCACUAAGUAGAGGGGUUUU
This 477-nucleotide ribosomal RNA is filed under the name Candidatus Scalindua brodae. RNAcentral's name for it is "bacterial SSU rRNA". It matches the Rfam family "Bacterial small subunit ribosomal RNA", at positions 365 to 832 of the family's 1533-position model. RNAcentral also lists the same sequence under 1 other name. Lineage: Bacteria; Pseudomonadati; Planctomycetota; Candidatus Brocadiia; Candidatus Brocadiales; Candidatus Scalinduaceae. The record is from RNAcentral.